CAGUGAGAACUGCAGAAGAGUCUUACGUACACAGGGUAAGAGGUUGCGUGCCGACGCUAGCAGCAGGUAAGCAAACAGCAGUUGAUGAUAGGGCCACGCAGUAGUACCAUCAAGUGCCCCCUCCCCACGCACGCGUCGUCGCACCCCGCCCCGUCGCCCCAGUGCCGCGAACAGAGUGCGCGAUAUUCCGUACCUCCACGCUCGAUACAGCGGCAGCGGUGCUUCCUGGUGCACGCUUCGAGGCCAGCCCCAUGUCGUGCCGCCCCCCUCUUCUUUGCAUCGGCGCCGUCGCUGCCCGCUGCUCUUCCUCUACGGUGUGGACGGCGUCAGCCGCGUGGCGCCGCCUUGUUUGUGUGGCGGCAUCGUCGUGUGCAAGCGCGAGCUCCCUUCCCUUGGGCAGUCUCCAGAGGCGCACGAUGUUGUACUCGACGUUUGACGCCAUGCGUUCGAAGAAGUCCGCCGCGCGAUCAAAAGGCGCUCUCGGCGGCGCCGGCAGCAGAGACGAUAAUGUCGGCGCAAGGGCAACGGGCGCGCCGCUCUCGGGUGCUGGCGCGUUCUCGUCGACUUCAACGCGACCGUUGCAGUCCUCGGUGCAGUUUCAGAAGGAAGCGGAAAUGGCUUUCCCGAAAACUCUCAAAAGCGGCCGGCCAGCGCAACAGAACACCAUAUCGCAGCAGCUCUUCUACGCGAACCCCGCCAACGUCGCGGAUGUGGCGCGCCAGCAGCAGCGGGACCGCGAGUACACACAGCAGAUGCGUGAGCUGCACGCCAAGAGGGGUUCAGCCGAUCGCCGCUUCUUUCAGCGCAUGACGGACUACCGCGACAUUCAAGAUGGCGACCCGUACGCGUCCGUCUUCGGGGAGUCCGGCGGGACGCAGCGGCUGCGCACCGCCGCGUGGCAGCGGCAGUUCGAGAAGGAGAACGAAGAUGUUGAGCUGCCGUACGAGCGCACCAACGUGCUCGCGCGUCUCGCACCGAACCGGUUCGUGCGGUACUUCGUAAAUCUGCGCGACAAGGGCGGGGCGGACCACCUCUACUUCCUGUGGGCAUGUGCCCUCAUCGUGGUGUCGCUGUUGUGGGUUGUCGGGUACCUCUUCUACACCGCUCCUAGUCGGGCACGACCGACGAGCGAGAUCCGCUAAGGAUGAUGCGCGCGUGCGCGGUCGAAGGCACAGCAAGGGUUGCGGGCGACAAGGGCAGUCAUCCUUUGCGGCCACAUGUCAGCCGCGACGCCUCGCUGGAGAGGCGCGCGCUUCCGCACACGCACGCACCCGUACGGUGCAACGCGCACAGUUCACGAGCAUCAGUGCAACGGCUCACGGCCCCCGUGCGCGGGGAGAACCCUCUGAAGGAGGGAGGCCACAACCG
Molecule: unclassified non-coding RNA, 1368 nt
Filed under: Leishmania donovani
Lineage: Eukaryota; Euglenozoa; Kinetoplastea; Trypanosomatida; Trypanosomatidae
Description: gene:LdHU3.09.0530(CDS-product:hypothetical_prote in_conserved)
Source: RNAcentral